This 254-nucleotide ribosomal RNA is filed under the name uncultured bacterium. RNAcentral describes it as "partial 16S ribosomal RNA". It matches the Rfam family "Bacterial small subunit ribosomal RNA", at positions 524 to 776 of the family's 1533-position model. The record is from RNAcentral.
UACGUAGGGUGCGAGCGUUGUCCGGAAUUAUUGGGCGUAAAGAGCUCGUAGGCGGUCUGUCGCGUCGAUCGUGAAAACUUGGGGCUUAACCCUGAGCUUGCGGUCGAUACGGGCAUGACUGGAGUUCGGCAGGGGAGACUGGAAUUCCUGGUGUAGCGGUGAAAUGCGCAGAUAUCAGGAGGAACACCGGUGGCGAAGGCGGGUCUCUGGGCCGGUACUGACGCUGAGGUGCGAAAGCGUGGGGAGCAAACAGG